UACGAAGGUGGCAAGCGUUGUUCGGAAUCACUGGGCUUAAAGAGCACGUAGGCGGCCCGUCAAGUGCCUUGUGAAAUCCCCCGGCUCAACCGGGGAAUUGCUGGGCAUACUGUAGGGCUUGAGGCAGGUAGAGGCGCGUGGAACUCUUGGUGGAGCGGUGGAAUGCGUAGAUAUCAAGAGGAACGCCGGAGGCGAAAGCGAUGCGCUGGGCCUGUCCUGACGCUGAGGUGCGAAAGCUAGGGGAGCAAACGGG
Molecule: ribosomal RNA, 253 nt
Filed under: uncultured bacterium
Lineage: Bacteria
Description: partial 16S ribosomal RNA
Rfam family: Bacterial small subunit ribosomal RNA
Source: RNAcentral